Long non-coding RNA from Equus caballus (horse), 1029 nucleotides. Lineage: Eukaryota; Metazoa; Chordata; Mammalia; Perissodactyla; Equidae. The record is from Ensembl.
GUACACAGUUAUAUAUCUUAGUUGCACGUCCUUCCAGUUGUGAAAUGUGAGACGCUGCCUCAAUGUGGCCUGACAAGCAGUGCCAUGUCCACGCCCAGGAUCCAGAACCCUGGGCUGCUGCAGCGGAGCGUGCAAACUUAACCACUCGGCCACGGAACCGGCUCCAAGGAAAUUUUCUCACAUUAACUUAGAAACUAGUGUCCAGAGAAUAUCAAGAAACCCAAUCUUCCCAGGCCCAACUCCUCAGCUUCCUGACGUCAGAGUCUGCCUUCCACCAUGGAGACAAACAGCCAAAGACGCUCAUCUGAGAAAUCCUUUCUCUCCUCCCCUGGAAGCAGCCCAGACACAGGCCGAUGGGAAAACGCUGACCAAGAAGUCUAUGGCGCUCCUCCCCUACCUAAAACCCCAAAUAAAAACUCCUACCCGUUUCUUAGUGGGAAGCAAGCAAGUUUAGGGGCACCGGCCCUCUGCUUUGCUCCCUCUGCCUGGCAAAGUAAAGCUUUCCUUUCUCUCCCAAGACGGUGAUCUCAUUAUUUGGAUUGACAUUGGGAUCAGAGACCGAACUUCUGGUCACAGUAGUGGCAGAGAGAGAGGAGUUCAGUUUCGAACAUUUAAACUGCAGGUGACUGUUGGGCAUCCAAGUAGAGAUGGAGAGAAGGCUGUUCGGUAUGAGUCUGGAUUUCAGAAGAGAGGUCCAGGAGGGAGAUAUAAAUGAGGGAAUCACAGCAAAUAGAGGGUUUAUCAUAUGAUGAGAUUAGAUGAAAUUUCCUAAGGACUGAAUAUUAAUUUUGCAAGGAGAUCCCAAAGGACCAAGAACUAGAAAACGCCAACAUUAAGAGGUCAGAAAAUAAACAGGCAACAGCAAAGAGACUGAGAAUGUGUGCAGAGAGGUAGGAGAAAAACCCAGAGAGUGUGAUGCUUCGAAUGUCAAGAGAAAAAAAAAAAGAAUGCUUUGAGAGGAGAAAGUCAGCUAAUCAAUUCAAUGAUAUUGACAGGUCAAGUAAAAAAAAAAGGGGGUUUAGAGCACAG